RNAcentral lists this non-coding RNA (191 nucleotides) under Geosporobacter subterraneus. Lineage: Bacteria; Bacillati; Bacillota; Clostridia; Peptostreptococcales; Thermotaleaceae. The record is from RNAcentral.
ACUAAAUAGACUCGUUACGGUAUGAUUGUUCUACAAUCAUUUAAAAGGGAAGUUCGGUGAAAAUCCGACGCGGUCCCGCCACUGUGACAGGGAGUAUAGUUAUAGAAUAUCCACUAUUUCUUAGGAGAUGGGAAGGGAAUAGCUGUAUGCUGAUCUGGAGUCAGGAGACCUGCCAUAACGAAGAAUACCAU